NNNNNNUGAAGGGAAAAAUAUGGAUGUCUCAAAAUUUUCUUUGUCUCAACAGUGACAAGACUGAGGUUAUGCUGAUUGGUUCACCCCAUCAAAUACGUAAAGCUAAUAUCUUAAAUUUAAAGAUGGAUGGGUCUAUUAUGGAGUUUCAAGCAAAAUUAAAAAAUCUGGGGGUGAUAUUUGAUUCAAACUUAACUUUUGAUCCUCAUGUUCAGAACAUGGUUAAAGUAUCAUUUUUUCACCUUAGAAACAUUGCAAGACUGCGUCCCAUGUUGUCCUUUUCAGUGGCUGAAAAACUGAUCAAUACGUUUGUCUUUUCUCGAAUAGACUACUGUAAUGCUUUGCUCGCGGGGGUCUCGAAAUCUACUUUAGGCAGAUUGCAGUAUGUUCAAAAUGCAGCUGCCAGAGUCCUGACAAGUUCCAGGACAAGUGAGCACAUCUCUCCAGUCUUGGAGUCCUUGCACUGGCUUCCGGUCAGGUUUCGCAUUGAUUUUAAAAUUCUUAUGCUUACCUACAAGGCCCUGCAUGGUUUAGCUCCAGAAUAUCUGACUGAACUUUUAACUGUCUACACUCCAAGGCGUAAUCUUCUUUCAUCGGAUUCUGGCUUUUUAACUAUUCCUGUAACUCGUUUACGCUCUAUGGGUGACCGGGCCUUCUCUUCUGUGGCACCUAAACUCUGGAACUCUCUUCCUACUGAAAUUAGACAAGCUGAAUCCCUUAGUAUUUUUAAAUGUUCUUUUAAAAUGAUUUUUUUCCGGUUAGCAUAUAUGUGAUAUGUUUUUCUGAUUGUCAAUCUCAAUGUAUUUUUUUUUAAUUUUUUUUUGUAUGCCUUGGUAAAGCGCUUUGAGAUGUAACUUUUAAAGGCGCUAUAGAAAAUAAAGUUUAUUAUUAUUAUAUAUCCAUGAGAUAUAUUGCACAUUUUCAUAAUGUACUGUAAAUGUGGAAGUAGGAUUCGUUAAACUUACACAUUCAAAAUAAAAAUGCACCGAAGAGAAGCAGCUUUUUCUACAAUGGUCUAUUUACUUCAUUCUUAUCAAAUUAAUCUGUUACUCAAGGAACAUAGAAAUCUGAAUCUAAGAAGAAUGCAUAAAAAUAAAAGCUAAACUUCAAAUUAGUUUAGUUUAGA
This is a long non-coding RNA of Cyprinus carpio (common carp), 1123 nucleotides long. The record is from Ensembl. Lineage: Eukaryota; Metazoa; Chordata; Actinopteri; Cypriniformes; Cyprinidae.